This is a long non-coding RNA of Myotis myotis, 1653 nucleotides long. RefSeq lists it as uncharacterized. The record is from RefSeq and is a predicted model, not a curated record. NCBI's taxonomy places the organism in Eukaryota, Metazoa, Chordata, Mammalia, Chiroptera, Vespertilionidae. The transcript is spliced from 2 exons.
UAUUCCGAUGUUAAUUAUUCACUCGGGCAGCCACGGAAGAGAGGCGAAAAGCAAACAAUGUGAUUAAGAAAGACCCUGUGUCAUCAGCACGCAAGCCACCUUCUCCCCAGCACGUCCGGAGGCUCGGCACACGUCCGCCUCCUGCCCCGCCCCUGUGGCCUUUCCUGCAUUCCUUCCCUUACGCCCGUCCUUGGUGUUCAUUUUUAUCCAGGCUCCUGCACCAAACAACGCAUCAGACACAUGGGAACUAACACAGCAUUGGGACGCCAGCUUCACCCAUUCUGACAAAACACAGAAGUAGGAUACUAACCAGGAUGUCAACCAUUUGACCACACUUGGCAGCUGCGAGAGCUAUUCAAGAAAGGCCCCUACCCUUUCACCUGGGACUUGUCACACAGAAAUCAUUCCUGAAAGGGAGGCUGUCACGUGCAUGCGCAUUAAUAGUCCGACUAGCGCCAAGCAGUAACCGCAAACCCAAAUGCCAGGGGGGGUUGGAGGCAAGCACACAGCGCCUCGAAGCAGUGUAUUGGGAUGCAGCCGCCGCAAAGGACGGGGAGCUUAUGCGGCCACAUCCAAAGUGCUUGCAAUUCGAUGCUCGGCGUACAAGGCAGAACACCAGACUGCCCCUCUGAAACCUCCCCCAGACCCCGCGCAGCCCGUGUCAACCAAGUUCCGCUCUUUCCUGCCUGUUUUCCCGGUCCAGCCAGUUCAGGCCUCAUCGCUGCCAGAACACAGGCCAUGUUGGUGCGCAGCCGCUCACGCCCCCCGCCCUCCGCUGGCCCUAGGUGGCGCUUCGGGUGGACAGGCUCUGUGCUGGAUCUGGCUCAGCAACGGCUCACUGAGUGCUCACUGAACGAAAGAAUCAGCGACAAGCAUCUCGGCUCCUGUUUAUUGAGCACCUACUAUGUGGCAGGCGCUGUGAUUGGCAUUUCCUGUGCAUUGUUCCACUUCUUUUUCUGAGAUAAUCGUACACAGUUAACACUAUUAUCAUCCCCUUUGUACAGAUGAGAACCUGGAGCUCGGAGAAGGGGUCACCUACCCAAGACCCUGCAUCUGGGUAGGUGGGCUGAAACGGGAUGAUCCGGCGAAGAUUCCACGCCUGCCUGGGGCUGAGCCCAGGUAGCCUGAAUAUCUUAAAGGGAAGCAAACCAUGUCGGCCCAUUAACGUCCUUCCUGUUUACCUGCCAGGGCCCAGGGGACAUUCCGUUCCAGAGAGAUGUCAUGUGCAAGACCUGGGCCUGUGACUCGUGCCAGGACCAGAGAGAGUGUGUUGCAAUGAGGCGUGCGGCUGACCGAGCCCAGCCCACCCGGGUGCCAGUGUGCUCACCACUCCACACUGCUCUCCCUUUCUUUGCUGGGAGCUGCACAGAUGAUGUUUCAGGGGGCAUCUCAUCAUAGGGGGCCGGUGCCGGGACACAUGGAUGACGGGAGAGUAUGCUGUGGCCACCGUAUCCACGGAAGCCCUAAGAUUACAAAGCCGAUGUUAUCUCUAACCGAGUGGAGUUGCUAGAAGUCGAGAAGAUAUUCACCACACUGUUUUAAGCUUGCGUCUCAUUACUGUACCACUCCGCCUGUGUGUUAUGAGUUAAUGUUUUAAUAAAUCCUGUAAUUAUCUUGUGAAUAGCAUAAUUAUAUCGCUUUGUAAUUUUUUUU